AUGAUGUGGGUCGGCUGGCCUGGCGUCAGCGUCCCCAAUGAGACCGGUCAAACAGUAAUCACCGAGGAACUAUUCAAGCGGAGGUGUGUACCUGUGUUCCUGGAUGAGGAGUUGAUGGACCAGUACUACAGCGGGUAUUGCAACAAAAUUCUCUGGCCACUCUUCCAUUACUUGGGGCUCCCGCAAGAGUACAAGAUCAAUAAGGCAAAAGACAUCAAGUCGCAGUUCGAAGCGUAUACUCAAGCAAAUCAGAUGUUCGCAGAGACAGUGUGCAAAAUUUAUAAGGAAGGAGAUAUCAUAUGGUGCCAUGACUACCAUCUGAUGUGCCUUCCCAAGUUGCUGAAGCAGUAUAAUAUCAACAUGAAGGUAGGCUGGUUCCUGCACACGCCAUUUCCCUCAUCCGAGAUGUACCGGGCACUGCCAAACCGUGCGGAGUUGUUGGAGGCGGUGCUUAAAGCUGACUUAGUGGGGUUUCAUGCGUAUGAUUAUGCAAGGCAUUUUGUGAGUGCUUGCAUUAGCCUGCUUGGGCUUGAGGGUUGCCUUGAUGGCAUUCAGUUUGACGGAAGGAUUGUCAAGGUGGAUGCUUUUCCAAUUGGGAUAGACGCUCAGCGUUUUACAAAAGCAUUGGAGGGUCCCAAAGUGAAAGAGAAAAUUACCGAAUUCAAGAAACUUUUUGCUGGCCGAAAGAUUGCAGUGCCAACCAGAAGUGACGUACCCGAAUAUCGGAAGCUAGCAAGUCAAGUGCAUGAACUGGUUGCACGUGUAAAUGGUCGAUUCGGAACACUGAAAGCAACUCCUAUUCUACACCUGGAUCAAACCGUCGAUUUUGAUUCAUUGUGUGCUCUUUAUGCAAUCACUGAUGUAGCUCUGAUAACAUCACUGAGAGAUGGAAUGAAUCUUGUAAGCUAUGCAUACGUUGCCUGUCAAGAAUCAAAUAAAGGUGUUCUGAUACUGAGUGAGUUUGCAGGGGCAGCGCAAUCUCUUGGGGCUGGUGCUAUUAUUGUAAACCCAUGGGAUAUCGUGGAAGUAGCAGACGCAAUAAAACGUGCUUUGGAUAUGCCAACUGAAGAAAGGGAGAAGAACCACAGGCAUAAUUAUGAACUUGUGUCAAGACACACCGCACAAGACUGGGCCGAAAACUAUGUCUGCGACCUACAUAAUGCAACUAGUAAAGCUCCGCUACCAGCAAUACACACUGCCGUGCUCCCUAUUGGAGAAGCAGCUGCACAAUAUGGACAAUCCAACAAUCGUUUGCUCAUAUUGGGUUUCAAUGCAACAUUGACUGGUCAGAUCCAAUUUGUAGAGGGAAGGACUGACAUUGAACUCAAGUUGAACCCUGAGUUAAAGCAACCACUGAAAACACUUUGCGAUAAUGAGAAUACAACUGUCGUUGUUGUCAGUGGAUAUGGCAGAAGUAUUCUUGAUGAAAAUUUUGCAGACUAUAAAUUGUGGUUAGCGGCAGAGAAUGGGAUGUUCUUAAGGCAACCUGGUGAAGAAUGGAUAACCAUGAGAUAUGAACAGGAGGAAAUCAGCUGGGCUGGCAGUGUAAAGAAAGUGUUUGAGUACUUCACCCAAAGAACCCCGAGGUCUAAUUUUGAACAGCGUGAAACAUCACUUGUUUGGAACUAUAAGUAUGCAGAUGUUCAGUUUGGGAGAAAUCAAGCGACAGAUCUGCUGCAGCAUUUGGGGGCAUAUUCAUUAUCAAAUCAAAGCUCUGUUAUCGUUCAAGGCAGUCGGUCAAUUGAAGUUCGUCCUACGGGAGUCACCAAGGGUAAAGCCGUUGAUGAAAUUAUUCACGAGUUAGAUCUCAGAAAUACCAUGGCUACUCCAAUCGACUAUGUCUUGUGCAUUGGUCAUUUCCUUGCAAAGGAUGAGGAUAUCUAUACCUUACCCAGCUUUGAUGUUCAACCUGGAGCGAAAAGAAAGGGGAAGGGGUGUCAAGCAGAGGAUUGCUCAAGCGUCAAGUUUGACCUCAACCCUAAGAACUAUUUCUCAUGCACUGUUGGUAGGGAACACUCUGUAGCACAAUACAAUCUUGAGGGAACAAAUGAAGUUGUGUCCCUACUCCAAGAUCUUGCAGCAGCAGCUGCUCCAGGUAGCAUGAGUGACCAACCAUAG
Molecule: ribosomal RNA, 2118 nt
Filed under: Triticum aestivum (bread wheat)
Lineage: Eukaryota; Viridiplantae; Streptophyta; Magnoliopsida; Poales; Poaceae
Description: partial small subunit ribosomal RNA
Source: RNAcentral